CCUACGGGGGGCAGCAGUGGGGAAUAUUGGACAAUGGGCGCAAGCCUGAUCCAGCCAUGCCGCGUGAGUGAUGAAGGCCCUAGGGUUGUAAAGCUCUUUCGCCAGGGACGAUAAUGACGGUACCUGGAUAAGAAGCCCCGGCUAACUUCGUGCCAGCAGCCGCGGUAAUACGAAGGGGGCUAGCGUUGUUCGGAAUCACUGGGCGUAAAGCGCACGUAGGCGGAUCUUUAAGUCAGAGGUGAAAUCCCAAGGCUCAACCUUGGAACUGCCUUUGAUACUGGGGAUCUUGAGUCCGGGAGAGGUGAGUGGAACUGCGAGUGUAGAGGUGAAAUUCGUAGAUAUUCGCAAGAACACCAGUGGCGAAGGCGGCUCACUGGCCCGGAACUGACGCUGAGGUGCGAAAGCGUGGGGAGCAAACAGGAUUAGAUACCCCAGUAGUC
This 440-nucleotide ribosomal RNA is filed under the name uncultured Methylocystaceae bacterium. RNAcentral's name for it is "bacterial SSU rRNA". It matches the Rfam family "Bacterial small subunit ribosomal RNA", at positions 338 to 795 of the family's 1533-position model. The record is from RNAcentral. Lineage: Bacteria; Pseudomonadati; Pseudomonadota; Alphaproteobacteria; Hyphomicrobiales; Methylocystaceae.